GUGGAUUAGAUACCCUGGUAGUCCACGCCGUAAACGAUGCUAACUCGUUUUUGGGUUUUCGGAUUCAGAGACUAAGCGAAAGUGAUAAGUUAGCCACCUGGGGAGUACGUUCGCAAGAAUGAAACUCAAAGGAAUUGACGGGGGCCCGCACAAGCGGUGGAUUAUGUGGUUUAAUUCGAUGAUACGCGAGGAACCUUACCAAGACUUAAAUGGGAAAUGACAGAUUUAGAAAUAGAUCCUUCUUCGGACAUUUUUCAAGGUGCUGCAUGGUCGUCGUCAGCU
RNAcentral lists this ribosomal RNA (282 nucleotides) under uncultured bacterium. RNAcentral's name for it is "partial 16S ribosomal RNA". It matches the Rfam family "Bacterial small subunit ribosomal RNA", at positions 773 to 1060 of the family's 1533-position model. The record is from RNAcentral.